This is a non-coding RNA of Phrynosoma platyrhinos (Desert horned lizard), 72 nucleotides long. NCBI's taxonomy places the organism in Eukaryota, Metazoa, Chordata, Lepidosauria, Squamata, Phrynosomatidae. The record is from the annotation of a GenBank genome assembly.
GCCAAUAUAGUGUAGUGGUUUGAGCAUUGCACUAUGACGCUGGAGAUCAGGGUUCAAAUCCUAGUUUGGCCA